CCAGCGCCACCGGCGACGCAGAAAAUGCGAACGUUGCCAUGCGAUGCGACGCGACGCUUUUCUCGCAAACUAAUUUUCGCUCGCUGAUCUCUGCACACCACCGGGAACCGACCGAUUAACCCUAUCUAUACACUUCAUCGCCGAGUAGUGCGUGCGUUCGACGAACCCGUCUUUGAACGGCCGGUGAACGCGCAAACGGCUGUCCAGAGCAACCAGAGCGCUGCAGUUUCGUCCGCUUUGCACGCUGGGGCUUGACGGUUUGUUUCCACGGUUGGUGUACUAUGUCAAAGCGAGCGACGAAGAGCGUGCGAUCUCUCAGCUUCAGGAAAUGUCGACGCGAUGUUGCGCACUGCUGUUCAUGUAAUCGAGAUGUAUAGUGUCGGUAGUGACACGUUAGUGUACGAGGAAAACUUUCCUCAUGCAUACGUAGAUACGUGCGUCGUGCAAUAUUCAUAGAAUCUCUUCCAGAAAGUUAAGAGUCAAUGGCUAUAGAGUAGAAACGAACUCGACAACGAAGGAUCUCGUACAUAUCCUUGAGCAUAGAAAUCCAUUCUGGAUGCUCUUCAACUUUUUAUAACGUUUCUAUUCAUUCGUCACCAAUUUGUUCCGUGAUCGUUUCAAUCCGAACGCGAUGAAUAGCCGGAAAUUAAAUUUACAAACUAUUUAAUUGCGAAUUAAAUGAGAAGCGUUUUAAUAAAAAAGAAAAGAAGAAGUUAUUGCCAGAAUGAUUGUUGAGAUAAAGUGGCUAGUUUCUCUCUGUAUCAUUGAUCUAUUGUUUUCAAUGAAUCAAUAAUUUCGGUGGAUGAUUGUAUCUGAUAGAGACAUCUAUCCAAGAAUGAGGAAAGUAUUCGUUAUCGACGUGAGCUGAAGAACUUUGUAAUCUACAGGACAUAAAGAGCUUUUUUAUCAAUAAAAGCUAAAGAUAUUUGGCACUAACUCAGCAGUGAUAACAUUAAUAGUUGAUAGAAUUAUAAUGAGAUUUAACCUGCGUUAACAUCAAAAGUGAUAUGAACGUAAUGAUUUAUUACAAUACAGACAUAUGUGAAAUCACAAAUUUACAUUCUAUUUCGUGCAUAUGACAUUGUAAUGUAUAUGUAUAUCUACAUAUU
Molecule: long non-coding RNA, 1109 nt
Organism: Bombus pyrosoma
Lineage: Eukaryota; Metazoa; Arthropoda; Insecta; Hymenoptera; Apidae
Exons: 2
Source: RefSeq, a predicted model, not a curated record